CUGCUGCAAGUGCACAUGCUUGCAUGUGUGGACACGCCCAUAGGGUUUACUUUGUGGACCCUAAUCCAGCUGCUUUGCACUGCUUAGGCAACCCAGAGCACUCCCUAGAGGGCAACUGGAUUCUUAUGGGGGGCACUGGGAAGAAGGAUGGAUGCUGGAGGAUGAAUGCACAAGAUCUUCAACUGGUGCAACAGCUCAUUUCAGGCAAUAUACCUUAGAUUGACCCUGAGGGUGCAUCAGCCUCUAGCUAUUCUCCUGCUCAUGGAGGUGGUGGUUGUAGAGACACUCUUCCUACCUCUCCUCUUGAAUUGUGCCAACUGUCAGUUUGGUGGAGUUGAAGUCUGAGACACAGAAUUCAUAUUUAAAAAUAGACCUUGAGACAGCGAUAAUCCCUCUAUGAAGCACCUGUACUUAGCCAGCAGUUCUGAAAUUUCUUUCUGCUUCUGAAGUACUCUGAAAGUUGAUAUAGUGCAGCUGGAAAGAUUGAUUGACAUUGUCCAAAACUCCUUUAUAUGUAAUGGAAUCAGCAGCAAAGUCAAUCAAUACCAAGCAGUAGAUAUUGAUUUGCAUUAAAUGGAAUUCCAUUACAUCAGUGUGGCUUAAGGGCAAUCACUCUUUCAUGUUGCAUUCCAUGUACUAUCAGUUCCAGGAUGUUAUACUUACUGAGUAAUCCCAAACCAAAUGCAUUUUCUGUACUUCUGCCCAUAGAAAAUGAAUGAGUAUGUGAUGGUAGGUAUAGAAUUGCCUGAAGAUUACCUGCGUUUCCUAUUUCUUGACUGCUUACAAGUGUCAUCAAGCAAAGCAAUGGGCUUCACCAGUAUAUCCUAAGUGUGUGUAAAAAGAAAUAAAAGAACAAUUUCAGUGGCAAAAGAGCUUGUUUCCUGGGAUUGUAAUUUUCACUUGCACCAUUACCCUGUCUGCACUGCAAGAUAAAAGAAUCCCAACCCUUCAAGUGACCAACUAUAGCUUGCAAAAUUGCCAGUGACAGAUGAGGAGCACCAACCAGACUGAAGGAACAUUCUGAAAAGAGACUAACUGCAGGAAUAUGAAGUGGCAAAGCGGUAUUCACACUAUUUUCAAACUUCAAACCAAGUCUCUCUGCCUUGUCCUCCUAUCUUUUUAUAUACAAUUUAAGUAAAAUAUGUAAUAGCUUUUUUAAAGCAAAAUUAAAUGGAAGGCAAGUAAAAUAUAUUUUACAAUUCACUGACUGUUAUAAAACAUGAAACUAAAAAAUAAAGGUCAUUUUGGUAUGCUGAA
This is a long non-coding RNA of Gavialis gangeticus (Gharial), 1257 nucleotides long. RefSeq lists it as uncharacterized. NCBI's taxonomy places the organism in Eukaryota, Metazoa, Chordata, Crocodylia, Gavialidae. The record is from RefSeq and is a predicted model, not a curated record. The transcript has 2 exons.